GGGUUUAGAACGUCGUGAGACAGUUCGGCCCCAUCUGCCGUGGGCGUUGGAAGAUUGAAGGGGGCUGCUCCUAGUACGAGAGGACCGGAGUGGACGAACCUCUGGUGUUCGGGUUGUCAUGCCAGUGGCCAUUGCCCGGUAGCUAAGUUCGGAAUCGAUAACCGCUGAAAGCAUCUAAGCGGGAAGCGAGCCCUGAGAUGAGUCUUC
RNAcentral lists this ribosomal RNA (207 nucleotides) under Vibrio breoganii. Its description in RNAcentral is "partial 23S ribosomal RNA". It matches the Rfam family "Bacterial large subunit ribosomal RNA", at positions 2607 to 2813 of the family's 2925-position model. The record is from RNAcentral. Lineage: Bacteria; Pseudomonadati; Pseudomonadota; Gammaproteobacteria; Vibrionales; Vibrionaceae.